AUACGUAGGGGGCGAGCGUUGUCCGGAAUGACUGGGCGUAAAGGGCGUGUAGGCGGCCGAUUAAGUCUGGAGUGAAAGUCCUGCUUUCAAGGUGGGAAUUGCUUUGGAUACUGCAGUGCUAGAGUGCGGAAGAGGUAAGUGGAAUUCCCAGUGUAGCGGUGAAAUGCGUAGAGAUUGGGAGGAACACCAGUGGCGAAGGCGACUUACUGGGCCGUAACUGACGCUGAGGCGCGAAAGCGUGGGGAGCGAACAGGAUUAGAUACCCUGGUAGUCCACGCGGUAAACGAUGAAUGCUAGGUGUUGCGGGUAUCGACCCCUGCAGUGCCGGAGUAAACACAAUAAGCAUUCCGCCUGGGGAGUACGGCCGCAAGGUUGAAACUCAAAUGAAUUGACGGGG
This 397-nucleotide ribosomal RNA is filed under the name uncultured bacterium. RNAcentral's name for it is "partial 16S ribosomal RNA". It matches the Rfam family "Bacterial small subunit ribosomal RNA", at positions 523 to 918 of the family's 1533-position model. The record is from RNAcentral.